RNAcentral lists this ribosomal RNA (733 nucleotides) under Bacillus pumilus. Its description in RNAcentral is "bacterial SSU rRNA". It matches the Rfam family "Bacterial small subunit ribosomal RNA", at positions 71 to 789 of the family's 1533-position model. Lineage: Bacteria; Bacillati; Bacillota; Bacilli; Caryophanales; Bacillaceae. The record is from RNAcentral.
GAAGGGAGCUUGCUCCCGGAUGUUAGCGGCGGACGGGUGAGUAACACGUGGGUAACCUGCCUGUAAGACUGGGAUAACUCCGGGAAACCGGAGCUAAUACCGGAUAGUUCCUUGAACCGCAUGGUUCAAGGAUGAAAGACGGUUUCGGCUGUCACUUACAGAUGGACCCGCGGCGCAUUAGCUAGUUGGUGAGGUAACGGCUCACCAAGGCGACGAUGCGUAGCCGACCUGAGAGGGUGAUCGGCCACACUGGGACUGAGACACGGCCCAGACUCCUACGGGAGGCAGCAGUAGGGAAUCUUCCGCAAUGGACGAAAGUCUGACGGAGCAACGCCGCGUGAGUGAUGAAGGUUUUCGGAUCGUAAAGCUCUGUUGUUAGGGAAGAACAAGUGCAAGAGUAACUGCUUGCACCAUGACGGUACCUAACCAGAAAGCCACGGCUAACUACGUGCCAGCAGCCGCGGUAAUACGUAGGUGGCAAGCGUUGUCCGGAAUUAUUGGGCGUAAAGGGCUCGCAGGCGGUUUCUUAAGUCUGAUGUGAAAGCCCCCGGCUCAACCGGGGAGGGUCAUUGGAAACUGGGAAACUUGAGUGCAGAAGAGGAGAGUGGAAUUCCACGUGUAGCGGUGAAAUGCGUAGAGAUGUGGAGGAACACCAGUGGCGAAGGCGACUCUCUGGUCUGUAACUGACGCUGAGGAGCGAAAGCGUGGGGAGCGAACAGGAUUAGAUACCCUG